UUGAAUUCAUAUCCAUGCAAUUGCAACCUCCAAGUAUAAAUUGAAUUCCACAUGUUGAGCAGUAGUGGUGAAGAGAGACUCAAAUGUGAGGAGAGUGUUAGAAUAUAAAAUAAUUGUUGUCCCACUGCUCAUUAGCUUAAGCCUUUUGUAAUAGUAGUAAACCAGUGAAAUUUAUCGAGGACAAAAUUAGGUUUUUUCCCUCUUGUAGGUGUCUUUGGCUAUCAUUUUUGGGGUCUAACCCCUUAGUGUGAUUCAUCUUGAUUUGGCUUGAGCUUUGUGUUUAGUGUAGCUUUGUUUGUAUUGUGUUUUUAGUUGGUUUUCCCUAAGUGGACGACUUGUCAUCCCUUUUUUUGUACUUUUUUGGGUUUUGUAGGGAGUUAGUGCAAGUGCACUUAACCACAAGGGCCUUUUUUCUACUAUUUUUUUUUUCCUUUAUUAACAGUUCUUUUUUUUUUUUUUGCCUAUUAAAUUCUUGUUUCCUGUAGAAGAAUAAGUUUUUAAUUACUAAAUUUCUAUUACUACGUCUAUUUCAUUAUGCACUUUUAUGCAUGAAUGUAAUCAUUUGAGGUUGAUGUCUCUGAAUUAUUGCCCCAUGAAGCUGGGAACUGGACUGAGCAUAAUGAUCUCAAAAAGAAAUCCAUCAUUGAUUACUACAUUUGGCCUCCUUUCAUGUGGAUAUGUUCUCAGCUCCUAUCAAGAGGUUUGAAUGUGUACACUAGUGUAGAUUGAUUUGGUUUUGCAUGUUUCCAUGUCGCAUUUGUUUAACAGAAGUUAUUUGUUUUCAGGUUAAAUCUGUAGUAUUGCACACCUUGAACCGAGCAAGAUUCAGUGUGGCAGUAGAUACCUUUCUUAAAACAGGUUAGCAUUAAUGUUCUACCCUAGAUACCAUUUUCCCUUGAUGCAUCCUUUUCUGUCAUCCAGGAUAUUCGUAACAGCUAUGCCUUAGUGUAUUUUUCAGAUAUAUAUUGUAAUUAUGCAUUUUUUUCCACUUCUAGGGCGAGUUCCAUCACUGCAAGAGGGAAACUUCAAUGAAAACGUUUUCAGAUUUCCCUGGUUGAAAGAGGGGCCUGUUGUUCUUGGUAUGCUUGCAAAGAUCUUGUUUUCUUUGUCCUUUUAAUUCUGAAUUGUGAUCAUCUUGUUUCUGGGUUCAACUUUAUUUUUUUUUCCUUUUUCCCUUCUGUUAUCUUUUGCUUUUAUUUACUUUUUUUUCAUUUUCCAUACUGGGUGGCAGGGCCAAGAUUUAAAGAUGCAUUCCAAGAGCCAAAUGUCUAUCUUGCGAUAGAGCCCUUCUUUGAGGUUGGCCCUCUUGGAGAGGGGUUGAAUUUUGGAAAUCAAUCUCUCUCUCUCUCUCUCUCUCUCUCUCUCUCUCUCUAUAUAUAUAUAUAUAUAUAUAUAUAAAUAAUUUUGCAUUGUUGUAAUAUUAUCCUAAUCAAUCUAUCUAUCUCAUUAGUAUUGCUUUUCUUGAUUGAUGACAGAAAGAGAGAUAUGUUGUCACUUAUAAUCCAAAAAAAGGUAAAGUAUACGCAUUGUUCAAAGAUCAAGCGAAGUCAGAUGACAUUCUAAAAGCGGCAUUUCAUGUGAGAUGUUCAGCUUAUUUAUAUGGUCUAUUUGGUGUCUUGAAAGGUGUUUUCUUCAUACAGGGGAUGUAAGAUGUUAUAUCACUUUGCAUUACAGGCACAGGUGCUUUUGCAUUUCAUGCAUUUAUCUUUUGACAGUCAGCAUCUGUCUCAGAAAGAGAAGACAGGUGGAUACUUAAACUUUGAGCCUACAGCUAAAGAUCUGGAGGCAUGUAUUGUUGAGUCAUAUAGGAUGGUCUCAACUUCAUAUGGGAUUUUCAAGAGUAAAGCUGCAGAGCAGGUAAUUGGUGUUCAAGAUUGGUAAUUUUAAUCAUUUGUGACAUUCAGUUGGCCAGUUUGGCAGGCUUAUAGUACAAAUGCUCACAGAUUUACACCUUUGUCACGACUCACGAGAAAAAUAUAUAAAAGUAAGGAAGAUGAUGUCUUGCCAAACAGUCUAAACAGGUUAUAUUGUGAGUCAAUCCAUCAGAACCAUUGAUAAGGUGGAUACCUUUUUUACUUUAUGGUCUAAGUUAAUACUUUAACAACAUAACAUGUGUAUUAUUUGACAAGAGAAUGUUACUGUCAACUUUAGCAUCCUGAGAUCUAUUCAGUGAUGCAGUGGAUGUGGUUCAAUUGUUUGUUUGCAUAACUGGUUAUUCACCUUGGAGUUUUAUCCAAAUGGCCUGAAGGAUUUUUUAGGUAUAAUUAUUGCUUUUAUUUUAAGUGGUUUCUGGGCUCAGUAUAAGCUUAAUUGAAACAAUUGUAUUAUACCAAGAUUUAAGUGGUUUUUAGGUAUGAUUUAUAAUUCAUAUUUUGAGUUGUAUCCAAUUGCAUUGCUGUUGUAGGUGUUGCAUUAGAUAAGGAUAUAAGGAUAUUGGUUUUCCGUUUGGAAACAGCCAGCUUAAGUUUUCUUCUUUGUUACAAUAAACACCUUAAAAACCAUUUGGUGUUUUUCCUCGAAAAUAUUACAGUGGACACCUAGCCUAGGUAGAAAAUUACAGAGGCAGCCUAAGUAUUUGGACUGCUUACACUUUUCCAUUUUAGUUCUAUGUGUGUAAGGAUAUAUGUAUGACAUUUGUUAUUGAUGUUAUAUCGGUGAUUUUUUAUAUAUGUAUAUAUCUUUUUAAAUCAGAAAGUCACUUGAAAAGAUUAUACUUCUCUUUUUAUUUUAUUUUUUAUUUUAACAUGGUUAUAAUCUAUCUUCCUGUAGGGGUGGAUGAUGUCAGAAGCACAUCUUAAUCCUGGCCGAGCUCGUCUUAUCAAGUGAUUAAUUUGGACAAUAUGCUGGUACUUAAUUUCCCUGCAAAGGCUUUAACAUAUAAAGUAUGGACAGCUUUAAUACUUGUUACAAACAUACAAACAGAAGAUGCAAAAGAGGGGUUAAAAGGGCUUGUCACCACAAUAUCAUAUCACUGGGACCAUGGGAAACAUUUGUCUCAUUACGCCUGUCGGAUCUAGGUCGAGCUUUGCUCGGUGGAACAAAGACUUAAAAUGAAGAUGGCAUGGUGCAGUUUAUAAGCUGUAGAAAUGAGUGGUAAGUAGAUGAUGGAUUAAUGCACACGGGACGACAUUGUAGAGUUCUCUUCUCUUUGUAGAGUUUGCCCUGAGUUUUGCUUUCUUAGUUAUAAGUUUUUUUUUGUUCCCUCUGUUUCAUUUUUGUCACGUUUGGCCUUGUCAAUAUACGUAUGGUGCACGUGCAGAAGAAAGAAACCCAUGAAAUCCUUGUAUAAAUAUAAAUGAAUGAAUUUUUCGUUUGUCCAUUACUGCAGAGUUGAUAAUAAUAGCCACUUUUUUUCAUUGAAUGACAGUCACUGUUAUUUUUCUUUCUGCGGGUGUAGAAUGAUGUGAAAACUGGACUUUUCUGUGCUCUCUUCUCUUCCUUCUCAGGAAACAUGUCAUCCACUUAAUUCAAUUGUGUUUUGUUUGGCCAAGUAAAUUGUAAUGAAGAAGCAUUUUAUUCCGUUAAUCUAAUUCUAAUUCUAGUUCUAAUAUGAGGAAAGGGAGGAAGAGGACAUCCUCUUUGUUGAUUUGAGUCACAUCGCUGUCUGCCACUGCUUCUCUCUCUCUCUGACAUGUUGCAUGUGUGUGUGUUUGAGCAGCAUCGUCUCGUCUUGUAAAUAACAGCAUUCUAUUUUAAUUUAUGAGUUCCUCCCUCUUUCUUCGCUGCUAAAUAAACUUUUCAAGAUGCAUUCUAAAGUUACUCUUACUCGCCAGGUAAAAGCAAAAAAAAAUAAAAUAAAGAUUCUGUGGCUUUUGUUUUUUACCUGCAAAUUUGCAAUACGUGUUAGUUUUUCUAUUGAAUUCGUUCCAUGUAGUUUUGAAGAUGCAUUUCCAGUGCGCGGCCAGCUAUUAAAUAUGGCUCACAAGAUCAUGGAGCUCUUAAAUAAAGAGAGAGAAAUGUUAUUCCGCAUAGGAUUGAAAUACAUUGUUGGACAUCAUUACUAAUGUAGUACAUCCUUAACGUAGAAAACUUCAAGGACCGUUUGGUUCAAGUUUUAGGAGUUUGAGAUGGGUUUGAAGUUGCAUUCCCAUGUAGGGGGAAGUUCAUACCCUUGGCUGAAUUUAGGAUAUUUUUCUUCCCACUGGGGGGAAACAUUGAAUGCAAGUUUUUGUGACUAAUUUAUUAUAAUUUGCAUUCCAAUGUUUGGUAAGCAUUUAAUGUAAGUUUUUUUCAAGGGUAUUGUUGGAAAACAAAACAAUUUAUCAUUCCUAAUAUUGCACAAACCAAACAUGAAAAUGAGAGAAAAUGGUCUUUCUUGAUCCUUAUUUCCCAACAUUCCUAAACACGGAAAUAAAUAUCUUUCAUUCCUAUCUCGUAGAAUUAAACAUGGGAAGUUGAAACCCUAACCAAACCGGCCCUCAGUGUUCCACAAUAGUAGAAGGCAUAAGUAGGACUAAGAGAUGCAUAUGUGUAAUGAAAGAAGGUCAGAGAAGCACCAUGCAUGUGAAAAAGCAGAGAGCACUUAAUAUUAAUUUGGCAGGUGGUCAGAUGUGGUCAGAUAUGAUCAUCAGAGGUGUCUAGAACUUUAAAACUAAACGUAGAAUUAAUGAUGCAUGUGAUGUGGAACAGAAGAUGUAUAAAUAUUCCGUAUUUCACAAGCUGUUUAUUUUUAAAUUCAUGUUAUGUACUGUUGUUUGUAAUUUUGUGUGCGACGGAGGGAAGGGGACGGAGCAGUGAAUGUGAAACUGAAUUGGAGUCUCAAAUCUUUGUUUGGCUUUGGGUGUUGUCAUUUAAUAUGCAAUAUCAUUUUCUUCUUUUUGGCAUUGAUCGAGGCAUUAUUAAUUAUACUUUUUUGCUUUUCCUUUUCAUUUCUUUUUGUAUUUUCUUAUCUCUGUUUCUGUACCGAAGAACAUUCCUGCACCACAAACAAUAUGCAUCGAAACAGAAAGUGGCUGCCUUUUCUUGCUGUUUUUUCUUUACUUUAAUAUCACGUACGUACCAUUUUUCUGAUUUUUCUUUUGCUCAAAACAAUUGAAGCAUUUUGUAUUUAGCUAGCAAAUCUUCUAGACCAGCAAUAAAUAACCCUCUCUCUCUCUCUCUCUCUCAAUGUUAUCAACUUUCCCAUUUAAAUUUUCUCCGUUCUUUUCAUGACAAGUGUUAUUUUUCUUAUACUAAAAAUAAUAUUAUUAAAGCAUCACACAAGUCAGUUUUUAUUUACCAAUCUAGUUUUUGUUUUCCUUCCUUGUUGAAAACUAUAAACUCCCAUGUCAUGAAUUUGACAAAUAAAAUAUAGUAGAUAAUUGAAUAGUUCAACUAAUAAUAAUACUUAAGGUCUUUUUUAAGAAAUAAAAUUUGACACAUAAUGAGAUACGCAGGUAAUUAAGUUAGAAAUAAAAACAAAAUCAAUGUUGGAUUAAUUAUUCAUGUGGACAACAAAUUCAUCUCUUUGAAAUUUUAACAUGAUAUCAAAGCACGCACAAAUCCAAAGUUUUAGGAGAAAAGAACAAAAUUCAACACAUUGUUUUGUCAUCAUCUUGAAAUACUUAAAUUUUUUAAAAAAAAAUACAAGUGAUGCCCUAAACUACAAGGGAUAAAGGAGUUUCUUACACUCAGGCACAAAAAAUAAAAAAAGAAUUUCUUACACACAUUAGGUGCUAUGGGGGUUCGAACCUAAGACCAUUGAUAUGCAAAUGAAGGCUCUUUACAAGAAAUUUCAAUUUGGUCACUGAUAAAAUAAUUUAGCUAAAUUGAUCACUGUAUUUUCUCAGUGACCAAAUUGAAAUUUCGUAUAAAACCCACAAAAAUAUAUUUAACCCAAAUUUUCUCUCUCUCACACACAUAUACACACUAUCAAGGUGCCAUAGGCUUCCAACAAAUCUUAGAGGGUAGUAUUUAGUACAUUGAUUAUUUUUUUAUGAAACUCAUCAAACUUUGAAACGGAAUGAAUUUUUAACUCACAAUGCCAAGAUCCAUUGUUAAAAGAAAUCAAGGUUCAUAGUUCUAACAAACAUGAACAAAAAUUAUAACCGCCAGCAAGACCCGUGGUUGAUAUAUACCUCUUCUUUUCUUUCCUUUUUUUUUUUUCCUUUGUCAGCUGGAUUCUUAGGUAUUAGUUACUAGAAAAUAUAACACAUAUAAUAUAAGUCCCCUUUCAAUACUGGACAAGAACAUGAACUAGCUAGCCACAACUCACUACUAAAACCCAAUUUUCAAAAACUACAUUGCAUAACCACCAAUGCUAUUCCAUAUAUAUAUAUAAAGAAAACUUACGAAAAAUAUCAAAGAGGAAAAAAUUAUAAAAUAAAAGAGAAAAAGACAGGGUAAAUUAAAUAUGAUAAUCAGUAAUAUAAGCUAACUACUGGUAGAGUUAAGCACAAACCGAAAGAGGAUGAUGAGAGAGAUGGUAAUGAAUUUUUUAAUUGAUAUUAAGCAGGUGGGGGUGGGGGUGGUGGGGGAUUCUUCUUGGCAAGAUUGUGUUUAUUGUUGUGCAUCCAAACCUUAAGAACUCUUCUUUUGACCCCAAUCUCUUGGCAGAAGUUUUGUACCACAGAGUCUUCUUGCUUCUGAAUCUUCCACCCAACUUUCUCUGCAAAGUUGAACAUUUUUUCCUUCUGCUCCUGUGUAAACUUGGUCCUGAACCUUUUCUUUGCUAGCUGUGCUGCUGCUGGCCUGCCCACAGCCCCACCACCAUCAUGCUCCUCCUGUUCAUCAGACUCUGAAGGGAGGGCCCCCAUCCCCAUCCCCAUUCCCAUUCCCAUUCCCAUUCCCAUGUUGUAAGACAUUAUCAUCUGGUGGGGUGCUGCUGCUCUUGAUGAGGGCAUUGUAUGGUACCCUAAACCCUCUUGGGGGGCUGCUAUUAAAUUCUUGUGAUGGCCAGGGCCUAAUAGGAACUUCCUGCUUCCAACCCCAACCCUGUUGAUAGUAUGAUGAAAGUUAUGAUCCCAAGAGGAGGGGAAGGGCUGCUGCUCACCUUCUACUUCUUUUCUGUGGAAGUUUCUGUGACAGUUGCAGGCUGAGCAGUUGAGAGCUUCAAUGGUGCCUUCUUCUCCACUGGGCAUGAAUUCACCACACCCAUCAGUUGCAGUCCCUCCCAUGGCUGCUGCAUGGUUCUUGAGACACUCUUUGUACCUCACCCCCACUUUCUUACAGCUGUAGGGCACAAUGUUCACAUGCUCCUCCUCCUCAUGAUGAGGAUGAGAAUGGGGGUGAUGGUGAUGAUGAUCUAGGCUUGUGGGCAUGGAAGAGCCAUUAGUGUUGGAGGGGUUUUGAUUUUGGGGCACUGCUGAGGAGGGAAUCAAAUUGGAAUGGUUGUGGGGCACUACUGUUGCUGCUGCUGCAGGGUCAUGAUGAUGAUGAUUAUGAUGGAUCAUGUGCCCAUGCCCAUGCCCACCACCAUAGGAACUAUUUAUUGGGAUUGGGAUCUCCCCAGCUUCUUGACUUGAAAGUUCCAUUAUAUAAUCAGUCCUAGCUAGAUCUUUCUCUUUUUCCUCUAGGUAUUAUUUUAAUGAUUUGGGUCUUGUUUGUUUGGUAAUUGGAGACCAAAAGAGAAGGAACAAGAGAGAGAAUUAGGAGGCUCGGUUUGAACUUGAAUGAUUAGAACUAAAAAGUUGUUAGUUUUUGGCUCCUCAAAUACCUAGGAGUUUAAUUUUUUGACAAUUAUGCUCUCUAGCUUUUAGUGAAGCAAACAAAAUCGAGAGGGGAGAGAAGAGGGGAAAGAAAGUUUGAACUCUGGGAUAUGGGGCCUCCUCCUAGGGCUAAUAUUAAAUCCUUUUGAUCAAAGAACAAAGUGCCAAUUAAAAGGUCAUCAGCCACCUCAACUUUGAAUAUACAUAUCCAUAUAUAUGUACAUAUAUCAUCAGCUGAUCUCAACUUAGAAGGAAAGAGAAAGAACAAGCAAAGACUAGUGUACUGCACCCAGAAAGUUGGAAACCAAUCUAAGCAAAUCAAACCACCUUUUCUCUAUAGACUCAACAUAUCUCUAUCAUUUGAAAGAGAUACACAUAGAGGGGGGAGGAGGGAGGGAGUGAAGGGGGGUCACCACUCAAAGACUUCCCAAGAAGGAAAAUGAUGGUUGGAAAAUUAAUAAGAAGAUGAGACAAAGCUAGUAGAGAAGUAAACCUAUUUUUUCUUUCUUCCUUUUGGAUCCCACUAGAAAUAGAAAUCGAGAAAGAAAGAAGGAAACAGCAGCAGGAUCAACACGCCGACUUCCCUUUGAGAAUCUUGCUCAUGAGCUUAAACAGUAGCAAACAGCACCUUCCGUUUCCAUAGCAGAUUAAAGCCAAACUAAGAGGAUGUAAGAAAGAGAAGACAGUCUCUGGCUAAAAAUGGGGGAGAGAAACAAAUCAUGAAUUACUAGUGGACAAAAGAAAAAAGAGUAAACUGAUUUAUUAAUUUGGAGUGAGUUAGUGAGUGGUGAAGAGAAGAGAGAGGGAUAUGAGAAGAGGGAGAGGAGAUAGUCAGAGGGAUAGAGAGAAAGGGAAUAGGUAUAGCUAAUGGCUUAGCUAGCUAGAGAGUGCUAGAACUUAGUUUUGGAGGUGGGUUUUAGCUAGUGAAGCACUAAAUAUUAAUAUCGGCUUACACACAGUACGGUGAGUAGUGAUGAGGGGCCCAAAUAAGAGAGAGAGAGAGAAAGCAGUGCUUUUUUUACAGACAAAGAGGAAUACACAGUGAGUUUUUGGAGAAGCGAGUUCAAAGGGCACCCCAAAACCAAAAAAAAAGAAGAAAAAAGUGGGGUGCUUGCUUAAAGCAUUGCUUGCACUAUCAGGCAAGUUUACGCCACCUAGAGAGCAGUGUGUGUCAGAGAGUGGAGAGGAGGACAAAGGAAGCCAGAAUACAAUGCCAAGGAGAGAGAGAAGAGAGAAGAGAGAAGAGAGAAAGAGAGAGAGAGAACCAAAAGGAAUUAUGAAAAGUAAUGUUACAUGCCCAAGGGAAAAUUAGCAAAAAUCUUCCUCUUGAUAUUGUAUAGUUGUAUUUUUAUAUUAUGUGUAUGCUGGACUUAGAAUUUAAAAACCGCUUGAACAUUCUUUUCCUACCUUUGGUCUUCAGUCUUCACACUCUCAAAUGCAGCUCCUAAUCAAGAUCCAAUAAUAAAUAAAUAUAUAUAUAUAUAUAUAUAAGUGUACAAAAUCAUGCAUACAACUGCUACUGCCCCCACUGUUGGGUUCGGCUGCAUGCAACAAUUUGGCUACUUACAAAAAUAAAUAAAUAAAUCUAGUGUCCUCAUUCACCCUUGUGAGUUAAAAGAAAGUAUCAUGCUACUCAUGUGAACCAUUUAUUAUCAAAUUAUCUAAAUUAGAGAAAUGCUUGAAGAGCCUUACUUUGUUUCGUAUUUCACAUAUUUAAUUUGUUCAAGAAAUUGGAGGCACUCUUCUGCGAAUUUUAAUGCUGACCAGUCAGCAAAAUUCUAAUAUUGUUUGUGUCUCUCCCAUGCUUUUCUUACCUUAACUAGCUAGCAAAAACUAAAUGAAGUUUUCUCACAAUAGAUACAUAUUCUUAAGCUUCUUAUACAUUCAAUUGUUUGAAUAUCUGAAUUUUUCAUGAAUGAGGCCGAGUAGAUAGGAAAGAAUUGUGCUUUAAGCAAGCCUAAUCGCUAAGCAAAAGGAUUCGUGCUCAAGUUAGGUUAAAGUCUUCUAUAAAAAGAGGUUACAAGGUAAUGAUGACAAUUUGUUUCAAAAUAUUAGGUUUUUCAAGUGCUAAUGAUGAGAUGCUCGCAAUUUAUACAAUAUUUUGAUCUACGCUCGAGACUAAACAGAGAACGCCACCUAAUCAUAAUUUUGUAUAAUGUAAUAUUCACUUAUUAAACUUGUGUAGUAUGUUUGUUGUCACACUCUCAAUUUAAACUACAUAGAAAAAAACUAAUUUAAUAACAACAUUUCUUGCUAAACUUUAAUGUGGGUAUAUUCAAGAUCACAAGUGUUGUUGUUUCAUGCAUCAAAUAAGGGAUUACUCAAUACGGCAAUGAUGUCCCCUUGGAAAACAGAGAUCAUGACAAUGCCAAAUCAAUUCAUACAGAUUCAUCACAAUCACAUGAAAUAUGAGAGAGAGAGAGAGAGAGAGAGAGAGAGAGAGAGAGAGAGAGAGAGAAUAGUUCAACUAUCUAAUCCAACAGUGAUGUAUAGUACCACGAAUCUUAGCAGUAUGAUUACUUUAGAGUUUGAUAUUAAUGAAUCCUAGUAAAAGUAGUAAUCUGAAUUUUAGUAAUAUAUAUAUACUAUAUUUUAUAAUGCAUGGAAUAGCCAAUGUCUGGUAUACUUUCCUAGAGUGCCCUGAGAGUUGAGAGUUGAGAGUUGAGAGUUAGAGUGCCCUGAGAGUUGAGAGUUGAGAGUUGAGAGUUGAGAGUUGAGAGUUUAGAGUUUAGAGAGUUUAGAGUUUAGAGUUUAGAGUUUAGAGAGUUUAGAGUUUAGAGUUUAGAGUUUAGAGUUUAGAGUUGAGAGAGUGCUGGAAAUUACCACAAUGUUGUUGUCCGGUAAAGUUUUUCUUUACACAUUCUGCACUGCAGGGAGAAAUUAUAUAUAUCUUUUAUAUUUAAAAAAUUUAAACUUUAUUCAAAUCACUUUAUUCUUUUAUUAUCUCUCCUUUAUUCCAAUAUCGACACCACAUUUAAGUCCUUUAUCCAUCUUUAGCUUUUUGUUUUUAUGUUUGUUUGUCUCUUUUUCUAGUAAUUCUUUGUUGCUCUUCGUUCAGUCUUUGAAUUGCAUACUCUUCUCUCUCUCUCUCUCUCUCUCUCUCUCUCUCUCUCUCUCAACUUUAACCCGCAUGACUUGAAAUACAUGUUUGGUUCAGUCCAAAAGAGAAAAAACAAACAAACAGAAGAACAAUAUAUAUCAUACAUCUUAAUUAGAUACACAAACACAAAGUAGCCUAUAGCAAGCUAAUUUUGCAUAGCAUUUUCAAUUAUAAAAUGGGACUUUUAGUAAAUUAUUUUAAACCCUAGGAGCUGAUAAUCAUAUAAAAUUGACUUUUUCAUUCGGUUCUGUGGGAAUUGAAUGUGAGAGUGAGUGAGACAGAGAGAGAGAGAGAGAGAGAGAAAAAAAAAAGGAAGGAUUAAUUAUGUACUGCCGGGAGAAUGGGCCACAAAAAUAAAUGGUAUUGAUGACACAUGAUGCAGCUUGAUCACAAUUUUCAAGAUGCCUCUCAGAGCCCAAAAAUUCUCUUUUUCUUUUUAAUCGGAAAAAAACAAAAUUUGAUUCCAUCCAUCUCCAUCAGUCACUCAGUCACUGCUGCCCUAAUUCUCUUUUUUGCGUGUCUACUUAUAUUUACUUUAUUUUCUGCCAUUUUUGGAACCCAAUUAAAAUAAAACUGUAGAUAGGGUAGUUGGAUGGAGCAUGUGAUUCCAUGCCAUUUACAUUCGUUUUUUUCUCUCUUUCUUUCUUUUUUGGCUUUUCAUAUAAAAAAACAAAGAAACAAAAAAACUAAAGAUAAAUCAUUUUUAAGGAUUUAUUCUAAUAAUAUUCACUUUAUUUAUUUUGUCAAAUGAAGACUAAAACUUUUUGGUCUAGUAAAAGCAAAUUAUAUUCUUGGUCAACUAGAUUGGAUGUUAUAUUCAUAUAUAUCAUAAUAAUAAGAUAGAUAGAGAGAGGAGAUAGCAGCUUUAAAGAUUUGUUCUAAUAAUCUCAUCUCACCUACUCCUCCUUCCAAAGGUGCAGCGCCUGCCUUGGCCCUUGUCUUAGGAAACCAAAUCUUCCUUUAAGAGGCAAUCAUAUUCAUUUUACGAAUCAAAUUGCCUAGUUUUGCUUCCUGCCUUUUUCCUCUCUCCCUUUCGAUUCUCCGCUUAGACUUUCACAUGCUUCUCAUUACAACAAACUUGCUUUGCUUUAUCCAUUAAUUUAUUAGAGCAUACCAUUGAUAUAUAUUUUGGGUCUUUUCCUUUCACUAAUAUAUAUAAUAUCACUUGCCAAAUAAUCUGAUCAAUUCAAUUGCAAAUUCAACAAAGGUGGCUUACAUUACAUGCAUGGUUUUCAACUGAGGCUAAAGAUAUAUGAACCAACUAUCUAUUAGUCUAUUAUUUUUCUUUCUCAAUAUUAAAGACUCAAAUCGAGAAACAAGUAGGAGACAAUACAUAUAACGGUUAUAUUUGACACAAGUGCUCUAAACAAUCAUUCAUUCAAGUAUAUAUAUAUAUAUAUUAUUCCUCGAUUUAAGUUGUUCAUAUUUUUUAGGAUUUUUUUGGUUUUCAAUUAGCUAUAUCCUUUUUGAAAACCCAAGGGUAGCUAAAUACAUGUUAUGUCUGCCCUAGUAAUAGAUUGAAUAGUAAGAGUGCAAAGGUGACCACCACCAGUAUAUAAUGGUAUCAUUCUUGCUAACUUCAUAAAUACUCAUGCACACACCUUUUUUUUUAUGUUCUUGCUUCUUUCUCUUCCUUUGUUCUUUAUAAGGAUGUUAUCAUUUUCAUUCUUGUAAAGCAUAUAGCAGCUCCAGCUUUAAUGUAUUUGGUUCCCUUUGGGGCAGAAAUAGCGAUUUCUUUUCUUCUACUGUCAGGAUCCGAAACAGGCAGGCAGGCCAUCAUUCUAUAUGUACAUAUCUCAUUUCCUACUCAUGCUGUUUAUGUCCAAAUUUUCCCAAAUUUUUCUUUUUCUGAUCUACUCACGUUUCUUAGACCAACCGCAUUUAUUGUUUUCAUGCCUUGAUUCACUUCUACCCUAAACGACAUGUGAUGCACAUAAAGGCAUUGACAACUACUCAAACACACAAUUCAUUCUAAUAUUAUAGCUUUUGCUUCAAAGUCAGCUAGUUCUUCCACAAUAAUUUCAAUUCUUCUAUUGCAUUUGCACUGUUUUUGAAAAUAGUCUGGUAGAAAUUAGGCCCUCCACCUAUAUAUGAACAAUUGGCAAUAUAUGGAUCGAGAGGCCGGAGACCUUUUAAAUAAUUAUGUAAGCCUUCACAUUUUUAAUGUGGGAUAAACUCUCAACACAAUGUCACUCAAUCAAAUAUAUGAAAAAACUAAUUACGAAAGGGAGCUGUUAUUGGCAAUCCAAAAAAUCAUCAUGGCGUACGUGUUUCCAAAUUCCAGGGGAGCUAAAAGGUAAUAUAAUCCUUAAUUGGAGUGUCUUACCAGAGUCCACAGUUGCUUAAAAUUGUGGCGAUUAAAUAACUUGCGCAUGUGUUUCCAGUUUGAAUUGAAGCCUGAGUUCAGUUGUGUAUAGGCUGUCUGUCUAGAUCUGCACUUGAGAGUGGCUUAGUUGUCUGCCUACAUAUACAUAUAAUGGCAUCUUUGUAGGUUGCUUUCAGCAACAACAUAUGGAGGAGAGAUAUAUAUGGGUAAUCAUAAUCAUUCCCUUUCUUUUCUUUUCUUUUCUUCUUUUCUUUUCUUUUAGUUUUCUUUGGGAGCUUGCGGGGAUCAGAGGCGUGACCUAAAAUUGUAGGCAGAUUUCCAUACUUUGGUAAGCAUCUGAAAAGUUGAUUAAUUUCCAUUCCAAGCUUUAAGCAUGUGUGUGCGCUUUCUGUGGUUAAAUUAAUUUAUAUUCAGUGGUUUGAUUUGAACACUGGGUAGGCAGUAGUGCUUUCUGUUUUUUCAGGGCCCUACCCUUAUCGAUCGUAGAAUCAACAGCACAUUUACUUUGUUUUAAUCUGCGCUUUGACAUAUAAAAGGAAAAGACUAUCUAGCUAGCCGUUGGGAACAUUCCCACCACUUUAUAAGUUUUGUCUGGACUUAAGACCCAGAGGCCACGUAUGUAUGAAGGGACCAAAUUAAAGCUCUGUCUUGGGGGUAAGGCAUAAGAUUCAAAGCAAUCUAACUCAGAAAACACUAUUAUACGGCACCUUCCCUUUUACAAAGCCCGUUAGUAUCCACCUGCUUCCUUCCCAAGUUCCCAACCCCACCACCUUCUAAUGUAUGAUUGAGAGAAUGUGAUUGGGGGGGGAGGGAAGAGGGGGAGAAAAGCAGAAAAAAAGAAGCAGCAAAUUGCAUUGAAUUCCCUUCAACUACUACAACUUUUUAUUUUGUUUAUGCAUUGAUAUUUCCAUAUUUAUGUUUUUACUUAUUGGUUCUUAUGUACUUCAACUUGUCUAAAGAAUUUCAAAUAAAAUGAAGAAAAAUAUCAUUCAGACGAUGCAUGGCAGUUUUUUUAUUUGCUAAUUGAAAAGCAUCGGACCAUGCAUGGCAGUUUGCAGGCAGAAAGUACCUCUCCUCACUCUCAUAUGGCUCAUGGUGCAUGUACAUUACAUGUUUGUGUAGUCUUCACUCUACAGGAUUACCAAAAGAAAUCUUCAGUGUGCAGAUUCAAGAAAUUAAUAAGCACUUGGACACCUAACAUUUAUUAUUAACUUUAUUAUUUACUUUAUUAUUUGACUUUGAGGUAUACACAACAAGCAAUUGCGUACAUGACUUGUGUGACUCUGAGUAAAACAAUAAGAAGAAGUGGCGUGUAAGAAAACACCAAUGAGUCAUAUAUCUGCAAAUUUUCAGGAAAAUGUUCAUGUUUGCUGGAUACAGUGACUUUUCCCCACUGUCUUCUCAGACAAGCAGGGAAAGAGUCGGCUCCUCAAUUUAAAAUAGUCACACUGCACAGCAACACCUCAUGACCUUGUGUAGUAAUUGUUGAACCAAUGUUGAAAGAUAAUCACCUCCUUUUCUUUUAUCUGUAAGCUUUAACUUUUAUUUACUUGAGAAUUGGGUCCAUAAACUGCCAAACAUACGUCGACAUAUCAUAUUGUAAAUCACAUCUCUAAUUUCUAAUAAAGUGAAUUGUCGACUAUGAAUGUACUACCCAAAUGUAGCAUGACUAACAUCUUGAUCUUGUUUAAUGAGUGGUAAAGUGCUGAGAUAUCCAUUAUCAACUCUGCCCCUCGUGUAAAGGGGGACUUGAAAAACAUUUUUUAUUUUCCUCAAUAAAAAAAAAUAUGUAUGAUCAUUGAUAUUUUCAUGUUUUCAGACCCUUGAAGUGAACUGAUAGAAAAAAUAAAAAAAACCCUCAGUUUGUUUACGCAAUCUAUAAACUAGCCAACAUCAAACUUGAUAUAACCACCUAUUGUAUCUUAGAUCACUCACUUCAUUAAAAGAAGGUUUAUUUAUGUACAUGCCUCUUAUGCUUUUAAACUUGUCUCAGAUUACCACAUGUGUUUGCAAACGUCUCAAAAUACCCCCCAAAUUUUUAAAACAAUCUUACGUUAUCCGUUCCGUCAGUUUUAUAGACAUUCCGUUAUGUGCGUUGGGCCCCACUUCAUUUAAAAUAUAUUUGAAAGUAUAGCCAGGCGGUCAUACCCCUUUUUAAAAAAAAUAAAUAAUAAAAAAAAGGCUACAGAAGAAGAAGAAGGAGAAGAAGACCUUCUCAGCCUCUUUGAUUUAUACUGGUUUGAACAUGGAAUUCUGAGCAAGAAAUCCCCUUCAAAACCCCAAGAAGCAACAAACCCAAGUCUCCAAGUGGACCAAUCAGCCCAAGAAGCAGCCCAACAAGAAGUACCAAAUUUCCCGAGCCUUUCAUGCUUGCCAAGGUCUCUAAGUGAUGACCAAUCUUUGAACACCAAAAGGAGCCUCUUCUCUUCUGAUUCUCUCUCCCCACACCCAAUCCUCAUGAGCACCACACCAAAAUUCCAAACAGUUUUCUCUGGUAAACAAGCCAUAGAGUUCUCCAAACCCUAUGAGCACCCAAUUUCUCCCUUUCUUAGAACUGAAAAAUCCUUAUUCGCAGAAGUUAAAGGUUAAAACGAAGUGGGGCCCAAUGCACGCAACGGAAUGUCUAUAAAAUUGACGGAACGGAUAACAUGAGACUAAUUUUAAAAGUUUAAGGAGUAUUUUGAGACGUUUACAAACACAAGUAGUAAUCUGAGACAAAUUUUAAAGCACAUGAAGCAUGUACAUAAAUAAGCCUUAAAAGAAACGACUUACCAUUCUGCUGUGUCACCAUUUUGCUUUCAAGCCCUUCACUACUUUGAUUAUAAUGCAUUAAAUGGCAGCAGCACCUUAUGAUCCAAGGCAUAAGGUACACGAGUUUAAAUUACAUUAUGCAAUCAUAAUCGCACAUAAGGGGCAACUGUUGAUUGUGCUGGUACAAAACAAAAUUCUUCCAGAAGAUAUGUUCAGAUGUUUCAAACUGUUUGGUCAUCCAGAAUUUGAGGUACAAGCCCAAGGACGAGUUUAUAAGGAUCAUGCUACAAUUACAAUCCAAGUCAAUGCAGAGGAAGGACCUGCAUUAUGGCUACAAUAAGCAACCAUCUAGCGUACACAUUUGUAAGGAAAAUUAGACCUCAUAUACAUUCUGUAACCGGUAACAGAUGAUCCAAUUCAUUUAUACCUACAAUAACCAAAAUAAGGCUCUCAACCCAAUAUAUUUCUUUUCUGCAUGUAUUGGAUCAAAUUCAUUUAGAUCCCAGUCAUUCUGUCCCUUGAUAUUUUCUUGAUUAUGAAGACGUGUUUCCUUUGUCAUAUUUGUGUCCAAAAAGCAUUUGAAAAAGAGAGUUGCCAUGAUUGAACCCAAUAACAAAGCUUUAGCCUUUGAGGAACAUAUUUCGGAACUCAUCAUUGGAUUUUGGUUUAUCUUCACCUUGUUCUUCAGUUUUUGGUUUAUUUGCAGUCUGACCAAGUGCAAGGACAUUCCUGGGAAUUGCAAAUGUGUUCCUACCCCUCAGUUGCACAUUGUCGCUUCCGCGGUUAUGACUAGACUGCAGUGCCUGAUGUGCCCUAGGUCCAUUGGAGGUCUCAGCAGAUUCUCUAGACUCAGAUCCCCUGGCUGCACCAGUUUAACUUCAUAAGCGAAAAAGUAUUCAACAAAACAAGCAAGCAUUAUGACCACAUGCAGAAAGGAAGUUCAAAUAGAUUUCUCUCAUAAGAUGAAGAAUUUUGAAAACGAUGGAACAAUGUAAGCACAACAUAUAGGACAGCUUGAAAUAUUCACAUACAGAAAAUUUAGGCAGCCACCUUUGGAAAUGCAGAAAGUUUUAUUAUAUUCGUUCUCAACAAAAGUGGAUAUUGUCUCUAAGUUUAAGGCUUGAAGACUAUUAUAUCCAGUUAGGUUUCAGACUUCAAUUUUUUCAAGAUAUCCUGUGUACUGGGUUUCAGCUUUCGCCCACUUUUGAAAAAAUUAUAAUAAUUAUCCACAAAAGAAAAAAAAUUGAAAGCCACUUGCAAACCAGCAAAGACAGAUACUCUCCUUUGUGAACAAGGUUUUAGUGUAAAUGAGCAAGCAUUAGAUAUAAUCAAACCCCUAAACAACGUAUUGAAUCCAUUCCAAAGGUGCAAAUUAGCUUAAUUGAUAACUCCACUUGUAUCAUACAUGAGACCUUUUUUCAAGUAUGCGUUUCAUAUUGGAGAAUUGAGAAUCCGUCCCUAAGAAUUGAAGAUUUUAUGAAUAUUAACAAUUCAGUUCAACUCAACUAGUUCGAGAUUUGCUACAUUCAAACCGAGCAAAAUUUGAUGAAUAACUAUUUUAUUCCAUUCAUCAGGUACACAAUAUAAAAUGUAUGAUAAAAUUAAGUAUGCAUUAGAGAGUCUAUUCCAUAUAAAUACUCGAAUUCAACCUCAUGUAAUUUUUAUAAAUGCAUCAAUUUGAUUUAGAUUCUGCAUGUGUGCACACACACUUAUGUAGAAAACAAUCCAUUUGGCGUACCAUGUUCUUUUUUCCCAUGCUUUGGAUCUGAUCGUGCAAUGCUCAGCUUCUUCCCAAGAAGCAUCUGCUUAUUUUUUGCUACAGCUGCAACGAGGUGUGCAUCAUCUGAGAAAUCCACGUACGCCAGUCCCUUCACAAGUUCAAUGAAAUAUAAAAUCAGAACCUUCUAGACACGGAUAAAAAGAAAGCAAAGUACAAUGAAGUCAAAUUUUUUAUGUUAAAAACAUACUUUAUUCUGUGCUUGCCACGAUAAGCAAGGUAAUUUUAAUAAAAAAGUGAAAGGCGCAGAAUCAUAAUCCUCAUACACUUGAUUCUGUCAAUUUAAUUAAUUCUAAAAUAAAUGAGACCAUAUCAACAAUGCACUUUUCACUACUGAUUCAUGCACCAUGUCCAAUAAUCCCAUAUACUGAUAGAUAGAUCAAAUUAAGUUCAUGUAUGAAAGAUACGUACGACAACCCCCGAGGUUUGUUCCCCAAAAAAUCUGGCCGGAUUCCUUUCACAAAGGUGUCACAGACAUAAUUACUAGAGAACACUCAUGUGCAUCAUACAACAGGAAUGCUUCCUUACUAAAUUGAAUAGGAAGCUUGAACCUUGCAUACCAGAUGAAUACCUGGCAUACAAUCAAAUGAAACAGAAUAUUACACCAGCCUUCUUUAUAAGCUAUUAACACUAGCCCCAGCCAACCGCCCCAAAUCUCACAUUUUUACCUUUUUUUGUAAAUCUUGUAAUCUGAGUCACAACUGUGCCCCUUAAAUUAAAAUUAAAAAGAAUUCACUCCCCACCCUCUCUUCCUCAAUCAAAGGGGAAUGCCUCUGCUGCAGAGGCCACUUGCUGCUGCCAUGGCACCACAGCUUUUUUAAGUUUCAAGGAAAACAAAUUUUUUAUGAAAGAUAAUAUAAUAUCAUUAUUCUAGCCUUAAAAACUUCCUGCCAUCAACUAACAACCAUAACUCACGGGAUAUGUCCACUAUGCAAAAGAUAAAACAAUUUCAUUAUGCAGUGAAGGAUAAUGAAGCUGUCUUUUAAAGGAAAAAAUAUAAGAGUACAGGGUGAGGAACGUCACUGCUCUUCCAUGUAACUUUUCAAUUUGACAAUUUCAAGUUCUACAAUCCGGGGCUAGUGGCAUCAGGAAAAGGAUGAGUCUUGUAUGGCUUUACAGGUAAAGUUGUGGGGUUUUUAGGGUCAGAACAGGUUUUGGUUGAGAGUGAUAGAACAGGUCUAUACACUUUUCUACUAGUUGUAACAUUGGAAUUAGAUCAAAGCCACUACCAUAGCACAAAAAACAUAAUUAAAUCUUUUUAUUCCUAGAAUCAAAUUAGUCCAUCAUUACUAAAAAGAAGACAAAAUUUCUUCAGAUCCAGAACGUAGUUAUAUGCCAGGAUUAUUUCAUUGUCAUUCUCUAUAUAUAUAAAGUUAUGACUCUAAAGUGUCUUCCCAAAUAGCCCUGAAUUAUCAGAGAUAGUUGUUGUCAACUUCAGCUUCAAUAUCAAUCCUCUUAUGCCUCCAAACCAUUAAACCAUUCAAGGCCCCAACCCAUCUAUGAACCUUUAGACCCCUCCUCACCACCAAAUCAUUAAAUUCUUGACAUUAGCCACUUCUAGCAUCCCCCGUAUGAUAGUGAAAGAUGCCUAAAUUGUCCUAGGUCAACUAUUCUUAUCAACUAAACCAGCCUUUUAGAGAUACUGAAAAUUACAAAGGAUUUGCACGCAACUAUAAAGAAAAGAUGGUCCCAUGCCUUUUUGACGGCAGCACACUAACAUUAUACAUGUUAGCCAAGUUACCACCCUAGUGUCAGCAUAACUUUUAUAUCUGUGUAUGUGUUUUAAGACUCUUGUUAAUGCAUGAUAGCAUGACAUUUGUAGCAAAGUGCUAAAUUAUAGUACAUCCAGUACAAAAUACUCAACCCAAAGCACAACACACAGAUAGGAAAAAAAAUUAAAUUGACAGGAGGGAGAGAGAGAGAGAGAGAGACCCUUGACUUUCCACUGAACUUGUCAUGCAGUAAUCUAAUAGCAACCACUCCCCCAACAUCACUGAAGAAUUGACGCAGAUGUUCAUCAUUUGCCUGCAAAAUACCAACAGUUUUCUAAGAUCACAUAUGUGCGUUAAAAAGAAGAGAAUGAUAAGGGAUACUGGGGGCGUAUACUUGCCUUAAGGUUAAUAUUUGAUACAAAUGCAGUGCACUGGUCAGCAUAUGCUUUUGUUUUCUCUGGAACACGCUCUUUCAUCCGUUGCUCAUUUUGUAUGUCCGGUUUGUCACCCUUGGGUUUGAUCUUUUCCACUGUUUGUUCACCUGGGUUCAGAACAUCAGAAUCCUUCCCAUGUGCUUUCUUUGGCUUUUGAGAUGCAUCUUUCUGCCUCUUUGCUGGAUGAUGUUCAUCAGGUAUCUCUGAAACUUGCUUUCUCUUGUCACGAACAUUCUUCUUGGAGGAAUUCUCCCCCUCUUCUGUCAAUUUGGACUCUUGCUGUGACCUAAAUAAUUGAAGCUCUUCCAGGCGAGGAGUGACCUAAAAAGAGGAGAAGAAGUCAACUAUAUCUAUUCAAUUAACAAGUCAAUACACAUGCAUACUUGCUCAAAUUGAACAUCUAUUCAAUUAACAAGGCAAUACAUAUGCAUACUUACUCAAAUUGAACCAAAUAGGAUACAGGAUAUAGAAGAACUAGUACUGGUAUACUCAGUUUUGAUAGAGGAAACAUCCAUUCCAUCAUUUUAAUAUGAUGAAUAGUUUGUUAUUGAUUGGGUGAUAAAUCUCCAUUAAGAUUACCUAAGUUGAGAACAUCGCAAAAACCUUAUGAAGCACAACCCUCAGCAUGAUUUUCAUAGUACAGUUCUUUUGACAACCUUUCCAACUUUAUUUUAUCAUUAACUGUUCUGUGACCCAUAAUAAAGGGAACAUAAAGUAGAAAAAUUACCUUCACAUUCACAUAGACUAAAUGAUUUAAAUUUCCAUACAACAUUCAAUUCGUACGCGCAAAAGAGAGAAAAUGUACCUUCUGUACUGCACGGUCAAAAUCAUCCAACGAACCAAACUCCCUCUCAAAGCGUAACCAUGAGUAGCAGAUGUCCUGAAUUAUUCUGUUUUUUAGAGAGGGAAGGCAUCAUCUAAUCCCACAUGUAUUAUGUAGCAAGUGAACAAACUUCUAUAUAAUUAAAAAACACAAAUAGACAACAUCUAAUAGAACCUUAAAACAACAUUAUUUUCCACAUCAUAAAUUAAACAAGCAAUGUCUCAAGGUAGUUAGAUUUUGUAAUGAAACUACAUGUCAACUAUAUGAGUUGGUAUAAAUGCUCACAGAAUGUGAACAACUACUAUCAAAAGACAAGGCUUUUUAGGAAAGCGGGUAUGCAAGACUGAUAUAAUUUACUAGACAUUCCACCGAAUCACUUAAUAACAUAAUUCAAAAAUAAGUUCCUAAAUUUUCAAUUAUUGAGUGCUUUUGUUUCCUUUUCCAGAAACUUUAUUUUAUGUUGUUUUGUAAUUUUUUGCGCUGAAUUUCAGGUGCAGUAAGAUCAUUUUACUUGGAUACGUUGUGUACUAUAAAGUUAUAAACACCAGAUUUCUUGCAUUGACUCAAACUAGAAGCGAAUUUUUAAAACAUAGGAACGAAAUACAUUAUCUAGUGUUCAACAUGGAAGAAAUUGUAUUCUCAUCACAUGUACCUAUCAAGAGAAAACACUUCUCUAGUUUGAAAAAAAUCAUUGAUUGUAGAACCUGGUUCUGAAAAUUCUACAACAUACUUUAGGUUGAAAGAACUGGCUUUCAUUCAUAUUGAAGGCUCUGGGAUGGUGUUCUGUUUGUUGGUCUAGGUUUUCUCUUUCGACUUUUGUGUUUUUUCUGUUGUCUUAGGUGUUUCAUGGACUACUUAUCCAUGCAUCUUGUAAUUCCUUUUGUUUUCUUUUAAUAAAACUUUGUGUUUAUUAUCAUAAAUAAAUAAAAGUAAUUGGCCGAUGAACGCUGAUGUAAAUGUAAAGUUGAAGCCAUAUGAUCCAAAUACACCUGAGGGCUUUAAACCCCAAAAGGCUUACAGUCAAAUUCUACACCACACCUUGUGGCUGGGAAAGGGGAGAAUGUUGAAAAUUUGAUACACCAUAGGUUGAACAAAUUUGGAAACUGAUACUCAUCUAGUCUAAUCUCAUUGCCUGCUACAAAACAACCAAGAUAUUAUAUUUGAUUUCUCUGCUAAAUAUUUGAAUAGGAUUAUGGAAGAGGAACAUAGUGUAUCAUACUCAAACUACAAUGCACACAGAUCAGAACCCAAAAACAAGCCCAAGAACAAAGAACUAUUAAGCUGAGUAAACUAGGUUUGAUUGGAAGAUAUAGAUGAGGAAAGAAGACCUUACCUCUGAACCAGUUCCUGGAAAUCUUUUACUGUAGCAUCUCCUAUAUAGAGACCGGGCUUCACUCACAUGGCCCAAAUCAGCUUCCAUAGUUAUAUAACCUUGCCAGGCUUCCAGCAUUGAACCACUAACAGAACAAACAGAAAAUUAAGCAUCAUACCAAAAAAAAAAAAACCAAAAACAAAAAAAAAACCAAAAAAAAAAAAAAAAACAACAGCACUAACAACAAUCAUGCCAAGGUAACAAUCCAGAUUUAGGAAUGCCAGAAUGGCCAGACCAUAUCUUAAGUAAACUUUCCCACACUCCACGAGCUGCCUGUAAGUCCUUAUGCAGAUUUAGCUCUAGACGGGCCCAAUAAGCAUGCAAACGUAACAAACCAUCCGUGUUCUUCAGGUAUUGUGAAAAGUAUUCUGAUGCAUUCUGAAAGUAUAAAUUGUUAGAAUUUCCAUGAGUGUGAACAAUACUUUCUUUCUCUAAAAUGCAAAAAGCCUUCAAAGUCCUUAGCAGAAUCCUAACAGCAUAUAGAUUGUAUUGUUCAGGACCACACCUUCAGGACUCCUAAAUUACAUAGCAAUAAACGACCAGAAGAUCACUUUGAAUUUUUUAGGUCAUCUACUUGAAAUUGACAUAAUCAGAAUUGUGGGCUCAAAUAGGCUGAAUAUAUGUAGGAAUAUUUGUAGCCAGAAUAAAGGACAACUAGUGAUUUUGUCAUAGAGCCUAGAUUCCACACAACAAAAAAUAAGUUCAACAAUUAGGUCAUUACGUGAACAAGAUUGACAUAGUUAGAUUUGUGGGCUCAGAAAAGCUGAAUAUGCAUAGGAACAUUUGUAGCCAAAAUAAAAGACUACUAAAAAAAGAGUUCAAUAACCAACAAUUAGGCCAUUACACAAACAAGAUACUCUGAUGUAUGUAUAUAUGUAGUUUUAUAUACACACAUAAAAGGCCAAAUUGUAACAUAUUUAAUAUAAUAAAACUAUUUUACCCUCUUUCUUUUCUUUUCUUUCUUUCUUAUGCAUCUAUUUCUGAAACUCAGGAAGCCUAACGUUCCUAUUCUAGUGUUAGAGAAUGUUGGGAGUGGAAAUGAUUUCAUCAGGAUACCAACGGAAUUUUACUUUUUGUAAGAAUAAACAUUAGGGUAUAAUUAUCAUUGUGAUUUAUUAUGAAGUUAAAACUAGGGAAUGGGAAUAAGAAACCCACCUCUUCUUUUAGGAAUGCAAAACCUCCAUUUGUGGGUUUUCGAUACCCGUCAAAACGGCAAACCCGAUCAAUUGCCAAACAUGGGAAAGGGAUCUCAUAUCCAUUCCCAAAGUGAUAGAACUGGGAAUCACACACUACCUUGAAUCUUCAAAUGUAUUAUCACAUAGGAGAAGAGUUACAAGACCAUUCUCUCCUUUACAAUCCAUUAAAGUUCCCUUCAAAUUUGCCACAGAGAAGCAAAUUCACAUGGAUUCACAAGUUACCUCAUCAAUUAAAGAAAAAUUCAAACAAUUUUCCACUUGUAAUUCCCUUCUAUAGAAAAAGUAUCACUAAUAGAACUACACCUUGGUAGUUAGAAGGAUAAGAAAUUCCACAUAUACUUCAUUUAAGUGAAAGAUAUUAAAGCUUCACCAAGGUCAAGUAGUGAAUGCUUUUGUCAUCCGGCAUGACAGACAACAAAUGUGACUCCGAAUUUUUUUCCCUGGACACAAUCAAUGUGACUGCUCACCCUUUAAUAAUACGCGUUUGAUACUGUUACAUUCUUACUAAAUGAACCGAAAGAAGAAGGAAAAAAAACUACAAAAAAUAAAGCUGAUGUAGUUCUAGCUCAAAACCAUGAAUUGUCGUAGAAUAUAUUCUACAUGUAGAAUAGUAUUUUCUGUAAGUUUAUCUUAAUUAAUGUACGCAUAUAUCAAGUUCAGAUGUGACUUCCCUUGAUUUCUUUUUUUUUUUCUUUUCCUUCAUUCGAUAGAUUACAUGCUCAUAAUGUUUUUUUUAUAAUAGAAACAAACUACGAAUAUUAAUAGGACUUCAAUCGAUUCGAGCGUGGUCACACAUAUAUUUGUACACAUAUAUAACACCUAAUUUUUAUUUUUUUUUAUAUUCAAAGUAAAAGGUCACAACUGAAAUCCCGCCCUGCACAAUCCCAUUUAAUUCAAAAGACCAACACACACAUACUACGUAUUUGCAAAUUGGUAAUUGUGGAGUUUAAUUCCUAACUACUUUUCCUUAUAAUCUUCACGCUGAAUAUUAGCAAAAUGAAGUGUUUGUUUACGUAAGAAAAAGAUAAUAACACACCUGAAAGGUUUCCCUUAUUAAUGAAUAAUCCAAGACACUCUCUCCUUCAACAGGGCAUGAGAUUCUUCUUCUUAAGCCAUCUAUGCGGGUGAGGUACAAAUCCAGGAACUAAAAAAUCGUAGUUCAAUAAACAAACAUAUUCAGAAAAACAUUGAACAUAAAUUCCGAAGACAGACAGACAGACAAAUCAAAUAUAGGAAUUUAUGUACCUCAUCGAGGGUUAGAAUGCAUUGCAGGGACUUCUCAAACACCUGAAAAAUGAGCAAUAAUUUAUAAUUUGGCAGACCACUUUUUCACAAGAAAUCAGAAUGGACUUUGGACACUAUAUAAUUCUCAAAACAUAAUUUUUAUUGGUUCUUCUUAUGUUUUUUCACUUCUGGUUUGGUAAAGGCAUCACACUGGAGUCAUAGUGAAAGUUGAACUUAAGUACUCGUUGUAGAAUAUAUUGGUUGAGAUUAAGUCUGAUGAGAAGCAAACUCUGUAAUUACCAUUGCAUUCUCUUCAGAGUGACCUACUUGCUCUACAGUUUGAUUCACUAGUUUUUUUGAACGUGUCAAGAGUCAAAUGUUUUGGCAUUUCUUCACAAUCAGAGUCCAAGACUGUCAUUCAUCCCAAAAGACUGUCAUUCAUCCCUCACUGUAAUCAGAGCUCAAAAUCAACCCCGCCCUUCUUUACCGUAAUACAACGUGAUCACAAGAAAUUAAAUAUGUAUCGUGUAGAUGGAAAUUUUGGAUAGAAAAGGAAAUUAACAUAAUAGCAACAUCAGGAAUACCUUUCUAAAGCAUUGAGGAAAAUACCAUCGGACAAACUUUGCCUUCAUAUUUUCUCAUUGAAUUAGAGCUUUUACAUGAAAAGAUGGAUGGUAGAGAACACCAAAAAGGCCAAAUGCAGGGGGCAAAAAUAGUUAAGACAGACUUGAUUAAGGACAACAAAGGUUCACACAUCUAAAAGUUAAUGUGGCCCAGUCAGUUUACCAAUUUACAGAAGGAAAAAAAAAAGCAAGUUGGCAUACUCUGAGUAACUGUUCAGAGCUAGUUCUUUCCUUUGCUUGGGCAUUUUCUUUUAAAACAACUAGGCAGCUAAAUACGUGAUGCAUGAUUUGUAGAGGAGCCCACAGCUUCAAAGAUGUAUUCAUGUCUGAUGCAACUUAAUAACCAAUUUAAAAACAAGUUUGCAACAAGUAAUUAAUAACCAAAUUAGAAACAAUCAAACAUAAGUCAAUAAAAGAAUGCUCUCGCCAAACAAGACUGAAAUCUAAAACGUACAGCAGCAAUCUCUUUCUCAGAAGCAUGCCCACGCUCCAAGGAAAGCAAAUAUCGGACCCAAAGCUCUCCAACACAGGGGCAAUUCUUCACAGCCCUGGAGUACACAUUGGUUAUAAUACUUCCAACCUGAAAAGGUAACAUAAAACAUUAAUUACUUAAUCAGCAGAGAGUUGCCCUCAAAACAGAAAAUAUAUAAUAAGAAAUGAACAAGGAAAAAAACCUUUAAUGUUUUAUCUAAAUAGUGAGUAUAAUCAAGCCAGAGAUAGCUGGAUAUAGGAAAUUCAGUAAUAGCGCGUUCAUACAACAUCUGAACCCGAGCUGGAUCUCCAGAAGACUGUUCAAAUUUCAAGUAGUUCUGCAGAACAGAAUAAAUUAUUCUUUCCAUAAACUGCAAACUUAACGCGUGAAGUAAAUAAAUAUAUUGGGGGAAAUCACAAUGACAAUCCUAUACAAAAGAAAGGAAAAAAAAGAGGCAGAAAAUACUAACAGUAAGUUCAAACAAGACAAGGAUGCAAGGAUAUCAGAAGCCAAAAUGGCCAAUAAAAAGGAAUAAUACAAUGUCAUUUCUAACAUAAAUACUUCUUUAUUCCAAAAUUCUAGGAAGUACUAAUUCUAAAUGAUACAUACCAUGAAAUGUUGAAGUUUUUCUGAGUCAGACAUAUCCUGCCGACAAAUCUGUUCUUCAAGAUGAACACGAGCAUUAUACAUUUCCAACGCCUUUUUGUAUGCUGAGGCAACAUGGGAUGAAAUCCCAUCCAGGUCACUUGAGCCAGCAUUAAGAAUGUUCCCUUGUUCCACCUCCCAUGCCUUGUAAUCCAAAAGUGUUGACCUCAUAUUAACAUGGGGAACUGACAACUGACGGUGGAAUAUAGUACGGAUGCGCUGAAUCUGCUUGUCUCUUGCCUGUGAUGUGAGAAGCAUUUCUUAUCUAUAGAUCUCCAAAAAUUAUUUAAGUAUCUAAAAGCAGCAAUACUUAUCCAAAAGACAACCAUAACAACAUAUGAAUAAUAAAUAACUGGUAAGCGAUCAAAGCAACAAAACUUGUUGGGGCAUUCAAAUCAACACAUAUAUGACAGCGAUGCAUCAUUUUUACGUUUGCAGGUAGAAUUUGAACUUUCCUUCUAAUUUUUUUUAUAACUAAAAACAAUCAUUUAUUUAUUUCAAGCAGAAGGUUAAAGGUUAAAUCUGAAGUGCAAAACACCAAAUACCUAAACCGCAUUGAAUUAUGAAAGCGCAGUUGUCAAUAGUCUGCUCAAGGAUAAAAUUUUGUGUACCCUCGCUCUAUUAGAACCACCCACCACAAAAAAAUUAUGUUCCCUCCCACUGUUUUGGCAUUAUCUGGCUCAGCUUCAACUUUUUUGCUUUCCUCUACUCAACUCAACAAGGUGAAUCAGAACUAUGAGUCCUUUUCUUUUUUUGUUUUAGGUUUUUUUAUCUCUGUUUUGUUGUUGGGACUUGCUUUAUCUUUAGUUUCUAAGAAAUGUAAAUUUUAACUGAAAAAAACAAGCUGUAAAAAUGUUUAAGGAAACUACAAUAUAACUUAGUUAUCAUAAAACUCUGUUCAGAAUUACAAUUAUAUGCUUUAUUCUUAAAGGGGUGAACAACAUAAAUAACUUCUCUGGUUUUUUUUUUUUCCUAAAAGAAACGUAAUUUUAUUAAAGUAGGGCAACUAAUUACAAAGAGUGAAUAAGGAAUCCACAAGCCGGGAAGGAACAAUUAACAAGAAAGUACAAUUCAAAAAAUGUAAAAUAGAACAUGCUCAAUAAACGAAUGAGCAUAAUCUUAAAAUCAGCCGAAACCGAUGCCCAUAGAGUUGCCCAGAACCUCACUCUAUCCCAAAGUUCAUCUACCCCCACACCCUUAUAAUCCUCAAAGAUUCUUUUAUUGUGCUCCAUCCAAAUGUUCCAGAAAACUGCCAACAACAAACAACCCCAUAAUGGUUUGGCCUUCUUGCCCCUUCCCAAAGCCUCAAACUUAGUACUCAUAAGCUCAAAGCAUCCUUUUGGAAUAACCCAGUUAGCUUUAAAGAAAACAAUACAACACAUCAAAGAACCGUAAAAACAGUGCUAAACGACACUCUUCCCAUGCAUUAAAAAAAAAGCUUCAGGGAAUUCUUAUUCUCCUCCAAAGUAUUCUGAAUUUUUCUUCAACAUUCUUCAAGAUUUCUACUAUUUCUUUUCUUUCACUCCAAACAACCUAUAGGCUUUUCGUUGUUCCCUAACAGGUAUUAAAAGAAGAUAUCUGAAUCAUAACUAAAAUUAGAUACUGAUCCACAUAUUUACAUCUGUAUGACUUAACUAUUAAAAUAUCACAAACCUAAUCGUAAUAUUAACAUGUAAAUUUGAAGCAAAGCAAAAAGAUAUUGGCAAAAAAGAAAAGAUCACAUAGAAAUGUUGAACAAUGAGACUAAAAAAAGUCAAAUAUGGAGUUCAGAUCAGAUUGUAGUCUCUCUCUCGUUUUUACUAGGAAACAAAAACUUCGGUGAAAAAAGAAAGAUGUAAUACAUGAAAAGACAGCCAAGAUGUCCAAUUUACCACUACAAACCUGAUUAUCAGUCUCAUCAGUAGCAUCAAAUAUAGCUUGCUCAAAUUUCCUGUAGGCUUCCCAUAGUUUACUGCCUUCAGAAACAUGCAAACCAGCUGCAGUAAGAGCGCGUUCAAAUAGAUCUCUUGCCUUUAAAAUACCAGCAGGUGAACAUUCUCUUACUGAGGGAUCAUUUUCUUGAACAAAAUCUAAGUAGUCACGCCAAAGAGAGAUGGACUGCAGUUGAAGGUAAUAUAGUUAACUGUCGAUACUCCAAACAAGCAAUUCUUUGAUCAUUAACAACAGAAAAAGAUGAGCUAAAAGUAAUGCAAUAAUCAAGCUUCAGUCUUGGAAAAAGUUGCAAAGCAUUACACAUUUGAUUGUGACAAAAAGCACAGAUAAGAGAAACCUUUUGCAGAGAUAUUGAGGCGAGUUAUGUGGAAGCAAAACAGAAACAUUGCUGGUAUGGUAUUAUUCUGCUCUAAUUGAAGGAAAUGGAUGGCAUCCUAUUUCAUUUCAUAGUUAAUAUUGUUUCUUUUGCUUCUCAUUGUCAUUUUUCACCCAUAAACUGUCCAAAAGUAAUAUAAAUAUGACAUGACAUAUUAAGAUAUAAGAAUUUUAAAAUUGCAUAUGUUCUGGAAGACAGGAGCAUAACCAACCAGAUACUCAAAGACUCCUCGCUCAUAAAGCUUUUCAAUAGCAGGAAAAGCAUCAGACCUGCAAAGUGGAGAAAAUAGAGUGAUCUCAAAUCAAACAAUAAUGUAAAAAGAAAAAUAAACGACCCAAAACAGGCACUAUUUUUUCUUUUAUGUUUCCAUUGUCGUUGUUUUUAAAUGUGAAGAGCACUAAGGCUAACAGAAGUGCAUUGAUAACGAAAAGAGAGUACCCAGUGGACAGAGAAGCUUCGUCCUUAGCCCAAUCCUGCCACAUAGAAGGGGUUAACGGAAACAGCUCAUUCAUAGCUUCCCUUGCUUGCCUCAGUUUUUCAAUGUCAGCUAUCUGCCUCAGAAUCUUUAUGUACUAGAGCAGUAACAAUAAGAAUUCCAAUUCAGGUUUUUUACUCGGCAACCAAACAGAGGGUAAUCAUAUAACAAUGCAUAGCCAAAGAAGAAAAAAGAAAACAGAUAAUGGAAAUUCACAAGUGUAAAUACUUGGACAUGAGCAUCGUAGUUGCCAGGGUUAGUGGAGAGCUCGGCUUCUAGGGUUUGGAGCUGCAGGUUUUUCUGGGCUUGGUCUCCGUCCUCUGAGCCAGAAUCAGAGUCGGAAUCAGAGGAGCCAGGGUCUUGGUCAGGGAGGUCGGGCAUGGGUUGGUCUCCAUUGUUGUCAUCUUCAGAAGUAAGAGUCUUUGAUUGAGGGUUUAGGGUUUCUUCUUCCAUGAACUCCGUUGGUAUUCCUUUUUUUCUUUAUUUCUUCCACUGAGACCAAAUUGUAAGCUUUUUACUUGUAUGCGCGAGAUGGGGACCUAUUGGUAUUAUUGGGAGGGAUGCCUCUCUCUGGAGUUUCUGUGAAAAUGGGCAAAACUUCACCCAGUUUUCAAACCGCCACAAGAACUUAAGGCGCAUAAAUUAAAAUUAUGCAGAAAUGAAAAAUGAAGAGCCUAGAAAAGGUUCAGAAGUUUUUUUUAAAAAUUAUUUUGGGUGCUAAUUUUCUCCUUUUUAUCCAUUUAUGCUCCCUUCUGAAUUUCCCACACUCUGUUUUUUCAUUUACACUCCUUUUUGUUUCUUAACAGUGCUGAUUUAAAAGUAUUAAAAAAUUUUAAAAAAAAUGUAAAUAAACAAAUAAGGGUAGAAAAAUCAACUUUUUAAACUUUUAUAAAAGGAAUACUGAAAGGAGGGGAAAAUUGAACCUAAGAACAGAUGCAGAGGUAAAUUACAGGUUUUGAAAAAAAUUUAUUUUAAUACAAGUGAUAUAUGAAGGGAAAUUCAAAUGGGGUAGAGAGCUGAUUAAAAAAUAAUAAAAUUAAUUAAAAUAUAUUUAAAAAAUUAAAAUAAAGUGUAAGUGAAUAAAAUAAGAAUGCAAAAAUCAACUCUUGGAAUAGAAUACCUGCUCUUAAAUGCUUGGACUAUAAAAGAUUUAAACAAGGAUUCAAAUAUAUCCAUACUUAUUAUUCUUAUGCUGAAAAUUUAUUACAAUGUAGUUUCGUUGUAGCUUGACUUUUAGAAAAUUCGUUGAGUAAUAAUGUCUCAUUUUAUGGAGUCCACCUUUUUCUUAGGAGUAAUAGAAAUAUUGAUAAUUUUUAAAAAAUAAUUGAUAAAUGAGAAAUGAUAUAAAAAAGGAAAUAAAUUAAUAAAUGUUAAAAGAUUUAAAAAAAUAAUGUUUUAACUUCUCAUUGCAUUACAAAACCCUAAAUGAGACAUUACUUCCAUUUAAAAUUUACCAUGAAAAUUGUGGUAAAAUGAAGAUAAAGAAAAUAUAUAAUUUUAUUAGAUCUCAGAUCAUGCAUUACAAAAACUUAAUUUGGUUCGGGCCCCAUCCAAAGUCAUCAACACAAAGAUACUUUAUUAUACAUAUUGAUAUAUAGGUAACUUGGAAAUCAUGCGACCUUGGCACUGGCAGCCUUGAUAUCCGCAUCAUCGGAGGAAGUAGUGUGGUGAGCAAUGUCGAUGAGCUUAGGCUGCCUUUUCUUCUCCGCAGCAAACUUUGGCACCGUAAUUCUCAGCACCCCGUCCUCAAGAUGAGCCUUGAUCUGAUCCACGUCAGCAUUCCCAGGCAGCCUGAACUGCCUCCAGAACUUGCCAUUUGUCCUCUCAGCUCUGUGCCACUUGUCGCCUUCCACUUGUUCCUCCGUCUUCCUUUCUCCGCUGAUCCUGAGAACCCUGUUCUCCUCCACCUCUAUCUUCACGUCCUCCUUCUUCAUCCCCGGAAUGUCCAAUGUG
RNAcentral lists this long non-coding RNA (30816 nucleotides) under Prunus persica (peach). RNAcentral's name for it is "long non-coding RNA (PPER_LNC001697)". Lineage: Eukaryota; Viridiplantae; Streptophyta; Magnoliopsida; Rosales; Rosaceae. The record is from RNAcentral.